GAUCCUGGCUCAGGAUGAACGCUGGCGGCACGCCUAACACAUGCAAGUCGAACGGAGUUAAGAGAGCUUGCUUUUUAAACUUAGUGGCGGACGGGUGAGUAACACGUGAGCAACCUGCCUUUCAGAGAGGGAUAGCUUCUGGAAACGGAUGGUAAUACCUCAUAACAUACAGAAUCGGCAUCGUUUCUGUAUCAAAGAUUUAUCGCUGAAAGAUGGGCUCGCGUCUGAUUAGCUUGUUGGUGAGGUAACGGCCCACCAAGGCAACGAUCAGUAGCCGGACUGAGAGGUUGAACGGCCACAUUGGGACUGAGACACGGCCCAGACUCCUACGGGAGGCAGCAGUGGGGAAUAUUGCACAAUGGGCGCAAGCCUGAAUGCAGCGAUGCCGCGUGAGGGAAGAAGGUUUUCGGAUUGUAAACCUCUGUCAUCGGGGACGAAAAUGACGGUACCCGAGAAGGAAGCUCCGGCUAACUACGUGCCAGCAGCUGC
Molecule: ribosomal RNA, 489 nt
Filed under: uncultured bacterium
Lineage: Bacteria
Description: bacterial SSU rRNA
Rfam family: Bacterial small subunit ribosomal RNA
Source: RNAcentral